GUCCAGCCUGAUUCGAGCUUCCUGGACAGCCACAAGGCAUGCCUUGGCCGCCAUUGAGCAGAAUGCCGCUGGUGGCCAGCGCCGACAGAGUGCCGUCUCAGCGGACAAGGGAGUAUCAAGCGAGACAUCAUCAUCAUCAAGCGAGCAUGGGAGUUUUUCCUGCAAGCAAGUAUCUCAUUAUCCUUACCUUCAUCUGAACCACACUUGCAUUUUUAAAUCUCUGAAGAGUCAACGUCGACCCCGGCGCUGGUGCAGGAGGUGUCCAUGGGCAACGUCCUCAGCGCAAAGCUCGGCUAGGCCCCGGCCAGGCAGGCCUCUCUCCGCGUCGCCUGCCCAACACCGUACCCUGCACCACUGUCAACAAAGUCUGCUCGUCGGGGACGAAGGGAUAUGGAUGACUAUCUCAAGGGAUGCAGGUUUCUUCCCAAACUUAAGAAUGAGAUACCUGGUGAAACAAAUGCUCCCUAGUCCCUACAGGGAAAGGUUGAGCAGCCUAGAGAAUUUAGUACUGAUCAUGGGUGAUCGACGAGGACUACUGCGGCCCGAUGGGAGUCGUGCUCUUCAACUACUCGGAGGCAGACUUCACCGUGAAACCCCGCGACCGCGUCAUACAAAUUAUCGUCCAGGUGAUUGCGAUGCAGGAGGUCCCCAGGGUGGAGGACCUCGACGCCACCGUCCGGAGGUCACCGAGGUGGAGGACGACGCCACCGUCCGGAGUUCCUCAAGGUGGAGGACCUCGACACUUUGUACAUACAUCUAGAGAAGUGGUCUGGUUAGGUUGGUGGUGAAACGCUAGGGAAGGUACCAACCUUUUGAUGAUGGUUGUGUGCGUCCUCGUGAUCUCUUCGAGUUGAGAUGUUCAAUGUUGCAUCCAUGAACACUUCAAGUGUUAAGAUGGUUCUGUGAAAUUUAUUUUGCACUGGACGUGUCUCUGAUCUCCAUUCAUGAAUACUGCAUCUAUUUUUAUUUUUUUAAUUCCUAAUUUGUUACUAAUAGCGUUGGGAAAAAAGUGCCCUACUAGUAUUUAGGAUACUAGUAGCGCUGGUAUUAUAGGCACGCUACUACUACUUCAUUAGUAGUAGCGCGAGUCUGUAAUAGCAGUAGCGUGGGUGGCACACGCUAUUACUAACAAAGUUAGUAGUAGCGCGGGUUUCACCCACGCUACUACUAACUAUUAACUGUAGCGCGAUACUAGUAGUGUGGGUACCCGUGCUGCUAGUAGCCUUUUUCCUAGUAGUGUGAUGUUUUCUCGCACGGGAGAA
Aegilops tauschii subsp. strangulata is the source of this 1262-nucleotide long non-coding RNA. RefSeq lists it as uncharacterized. NCBI's taxonomy places the organism in Eukaryota, Viridiplantae, Streptophyta, Magnoliopsida, Poales, Poaceae. The record is from RefSeq and is a predicted model, not a curated record.